Molecule: non-coding RNA, 21 nt
Organism: Caenorhabditis elegans
Lineage: Eukaryota; Metazoa; Nematoda; Chromadorea; Rhabditida; Rhabditidae
Source: Ensembl
UGUUGGUAAAGCUGUGGAAAU